CACGUAGGGGGCAAGCGUUGUCUGGAUUUAUUGGGCGUAAAGAGCUCGUAGGUGGUUCGGUAAGUCGGGUGUGAAAACUCUGGGCUCAACUCAGAGACGCCACCCGAUACUGCUGUGACUUGAGUCUGGUAGGGGAGUGUGGAAUUCCCAGUGUAGCGGUGAAAUGCGCAGAUAUUGGGAGGAACACCAGUGGCGAAGGCGGCACUCUGGGCCAGUACUGACACUGAGGCGCGAAAGCGUGGGGAGCAAACAGG
This 254-nucleotide ribosomal RNA is filed under the name uncultured bacterium. RNAcentral's name for it is "partial 16S ribosomal RNA". It matches the Rfam family "Bacterial small subunit ribosomal RNA", at positions 524 to 776 of the family's 1533-position model. The record is from RNAcentral.